This 256-nucleotide long non-coding RNA is filed under the name Gallus gallus (chicken). The record is from RNAcentral. Lineage: Eukaryota; Metazoa; Chordata; Aves; Galliformes; Phasianidae.
GAAAACAAAAAGAACAACAAACAAAACAAAACAGAACAACAACAACAAAAACAGCAACAAAGUAAGGCUUCUGGAAUGAUGCUCUUGGACUUGCUUGAACUUAACCAGAUACGUUCCCUUUACAGUAAGGGAAAUGUUAGUGGGACUCACGGAUACCUGUGCCAACAGAGCACUGCAGGAGGACUGCUGGGUUUUAAAGAAGAAAGAACCUCAGAAGAAGGAAUUGAGGAGGUGAGGAUUACAGCUUUAGCUCCCG